UCAGAACGAAGCAGAGGAAAAUACCAAUGAAAAGCUGUCAUUUACAGAUGAGAUCCUAAGCUGUGCGGUCAAAUAAAGAGUUAACAAAGCACAUUUAAACUCGACAGCUUCAGCAAAUCCUUUCUUUCACAUCUAUCUGUAGACUCAACGUGAGAGAAAGCCAUCUGGGUUUUCUUUUUUUUUUUUUCUUCCGCCCCCUAAUUUUACACAGAACAAACACGCCACUUUCCAGUAGGUCAGCCAAUUUCCCCACCGCCAGCGACUGCAUACAGUGUUUGCUUUACCAACAUUAUCGCAGGAAACCAGCAACACCUGCUGUAGAAGGUGUAACGUAGAAAGAGAGAGAGGUUCGCCCUUACCGGUCAGAGAAUGGAUCGGUAAGGACAAACUUACUGAUGUAACAAAGACGUUUGGGAGGUUUAAAGCAUCAUGUGUUUGAUUAUGAAAGACUGACACUUCUGGAGUUUGUUUUUUUUUUCUUUUCUGGUCAGCCACACUUCAGUGCAAGGCAGACAAAAUUAGAAUCCAGACUCACUGUGGCUUAAAGGUAAUGGCUGCUGACGUGAAUGCCACAGCUGCUCGACCGCCACAGUUUUUUUUUUCCGUGUGUGUGCAUCACCUGUUUGCGAAGCUUUGCUCCGUGAAGGGUCACCUUUGCUUGCGUGACUAAAUGUUUUAGCAUGUUCAGUGUUUCUCGAUUUACUGCUGCAGCACUUCCUUCUUUCUAGGAAAACCUCAAUAGAGUAAACACCAUGGCCACUCCCCUCGUCUCCUAUCACCAGGUAUUUCUGGAUCCUCAUUGGCUACCUGCAGGCCCAGCUUGCAACACCUCCCGAGGGUUCAUUGACCUCCACUCCCUCUGUCUCUGUGAAACAACAACGUCGACUUGAAAGAAUCUGCAUAAAGUCAGCUGCAGUGACUAAUCUACGUGGAUAAACACCCACCUGCAUUCUGAGGUAAUGCUUUGCACAGCUUGUCCUGCUUCAUGAAGUCUGCACAUUCAGCACUUGCUGCUCCUCUUUCCGUUCUGUCCUCCAUCAAAAAAAAAAAAAAAAACAAGCCAACGGACUUCUGCUCGAGUGUUUUAGCACAUUUAUGGAAACUUGGAGAGUGGUGUUUUUUAUGCAAACAACAAGGUGAAGCUGUGAGGUGUGAUAUACAGUUCACACUUCAGGCUCCUCGCGGUUCAGCCAGAAGUUAUUUUGUACCAGGAUUCACAUAGAAAUGUGAAACUGGGCCGUUCCCAUAAGGUCUGCGUAUUUACGCGCGCCAUGAGGCGGAGGUGGAGGUUAAACCUACACACCUGCAGCCUUUUUAUGGAAGCGAAAACAGCCUGCAGACAGGGCUAAGUUCAUACAUGACGGGGAAUUCUGAGCUGCGGUAAUAUUUACUGUUAGCUUGGCAACUUUUCAAAGCAUACAUGCAAAACUAGUAAAGCAACAUAGCAGCGACAGCCGGAUUGUAGCGACUCGGCUUGCUCGCCAUUCUGAGAUGUUUGCAGAAAAACAGCUACAAGCUUUAAUACAGCCCCAUAAUUCAUGGAUUCCUUUAAAUGUAUUUAGUUUCGAAGCCAUUUCACUGUAAAGUGCUUUCAUUGACCCAUUUAUGAAUAAUGCCGUGCUAAUAAACGUGCCUCUACUUGCCAGGCCUACAGAUGGUGUUUCGGUUUAAGCUAUUCAGUGCUAUAAUCAUGCUUUUUACAGUGUUAAGCUGUCAUGAAAACAGUCACACUCACAGAUUUAUCCUGCUGGACUUUUACCUGGUUCUGCUGUUCAAGAGGCUGAGCAGAUAUCUACUAUUUUUCUCUGCAAAACAUAACCACGGGAUAAAAAUGUAACUUUUCAUUCUUCGCAUUGUACAUGUGGUGGAAAACCGGCAUUACACAUUACAUAUAGCAAAUCAUUUCCGUGUAACCAUGGUGGUGGCAGCAUCAUGCAGGUAUGCUUUUCCUCAGCAGGGACAGAGGCGAUGGGAAGAUGACGGGAGCUGAAUAUAUCCUGAAAGAAAAGCUACAAAAGACUUGAGACUGAAGUGGCAACAAAAAGCCAGAUGCACAAGAGAAUGAUCGACUCAUAUCGAUGUGUUCAAAGUCUAAACCAAAAUCUCGUUCAGCUUAAAAAUGUCUUUUCACAAACACUCUAUUAAUUUUGACUUAGCUCAAACUACUUUGUGAAUUCACAAAAGUGUAAAAGCUUAAAUGUGCAAAGUCGGUAGAGAUCUACUGCAAACGAAUUGCUGCUGUAACUGUUCUACAAAGUGUUGCCUGAAUGUUAAUGGUGAAUGAACCACAGUUCUUCAUUUUUUCUUACACUUUAGAAUUGUAUACUAUUUUAUCUUGGUCGAUCAUGUAAGCAAACAAUAACAUUCGUUGAAUUUUGUGGCUGUAAUGGGACAGAAUGUGAAAAACUUUAAGCAGAGUAAAAGUUUUUACAUGUGUUUACUCUGUUUAAAUACAUGUAAAAGUAUUUAUUUAUUCAUGUCCACAAAUUAUAGUUGCAUGGACUUUAUGUGGAAGAAAAGAUAAGAUCAUACACAAUCUUUAAUUUUAGUAACAAAAAAGAGGCAAAAAACCUUAAAAAUUAAAUUUUGUCCUUUUAUAUGAAAUAUUCUUUUUUUUCUCUCAAAUUUUUUGAACAGUAUGGAAUUGAUUGAAUCACAAUGAAAAGCCUUAAAAAAAAACCAAAAUGUUUAAAUUAAACAAGCUAUUAUCAGAGGUUUUAUCCAUUUGUACGUCCGAUUCCAGAGGGGUCAGUGCCUCUCCGGUCAUGAACGUCACGCCAACGUCACUGAUCUGUUUGGUAUUCAGACGAUGACACAGAAGUUUAUGGACUGGCGCCCAGGUGAACAUCCGUGUCAUUUCAUUUUAGGGUAACACCGUACCCUAAAAUGAAACAAACACUUUAAGAAUUAGAACAUCAGUUGGUGGAACAAACAACAUAAUGAUCGCAAUCUGUGGGAAGCAGCUACCACUCAUGACUAACCAACUAACAACCCAUUUCUGGACCAAAAGUCAAUCUAUAGCAAUAAAGGUUUUAGUACAACGUAAUUUGAUCAAUUGCUCAUUUUGGCACUGUAGAAAUAUUUACCCCUCUUGUUGUCUUCAGAUUACAUUUGUCACAUUCCUACCUCAGACAUUUUCUAUUAGAAUUUUCUGAAACACCAGAAUAAAUGAAGUAGAAGGACAUCAUGUGUCUUUAUCUACCAAAUACAA
Long non-coding RNA from Xiphophorus hellerii (green swordtail), 3211 nucleotides. RefSeq lists it as uncharacterized. Lineage: Eukaryota; Metazoa; Chordata; Actinopteri; Cyprinodontiformes; Poeciliidae. The transcript has 2 exons. The record is from RefSeq and is a predicted model, not a curated record.